GACGAACGCUGGCGGCGUGCCUAAUACAUGCAAGUAGAACGCUGAAGGAGGAGCUUGCUUCUCUGGAUGAGUUGCGAACGGGUGAGUAACGCGUAGGUAACCUGCCUGGUAGCGGGGGAUAACUAUUGGAAACGAUAGCUAAUACCGCAUAAUAGUAGAUGUUGCAUGACAUUUGCCUAAAAGGUGCAAUUGCAUCACUACCAGAUGGACCUGCGUUGUAUUAGCUAGUUGGUGGGGUAACGGCUCACCAAGGCGACGAUACAUAGCCGACCUGAGAGGGUGAUCGGCCACACUGGGACUGAGACACGGCCCAGACUCCUACGGGAGGCAGCAGUAGGGCAUCUUCGGCAAUGGACGGAAGUCUGACCGAGCAACGCCGCGUGAGUGAAGAAGGUUUUCGGAUCGUAAAGCUCUGUUGUAAGAGAAGAACGAGUGUGAGAGUGGAAAGUUCACACUGUGACGGUAUCUUACCAGAAAGGGACGGCUAACUACGUG
This 495-nucleotide ribosomal RNA is filed under the name uncultured bacterium. RNAcentral's name for it is "partial 16S ribosomal RNA". It matches the Rfam family "Bacterial small subunit ribosomal RNA", at positions 28 to 507 of the family's 1533-position model. The record is from RNAcentral.